Molecule: long non-coding RNA, 272 nt
Filed under: Capsicum annuum
Lineage: Eukaryota; Viridiplantae; Streptophyta; Magnoliopsida; Solanales; Solanaceae
Description: long non-coding RNA (CANN_LNC012416)
Source: RNAcentral
UUGAAGGUUUCUUGUGUUAGAUUCUUGUUCUCUAAUACCUAGGGAGUCUAGAUCUACUUUUAGAUUGAAGUUUGGUUGAGUUUGAGCUUAGAUCCACCAUGGCUAUGGAGUUUUGAAGCUUUUUGUGCUAUACACGUUUUUGUCUUGGUGAUUUAGGCUUGAUUUGUGGCUGAUUUUUGGUUGGUUUAAGUUGUUUUUACAUAAGGAACCUAGGGCUACAAAAAAAAAAAUCAGAUUUGGAGCUCAUUUACUAGGUGGUCAAACUUGGUCAA